This 266-nucleotide long non-coding RNA is filed under the name Drosophila guanche. The record is from RNAcentral. Lineage: Eukaryota; Metazoa; Arthropoda; Insecta; Diptera; Drosophilidae.
UGGAAGAAUCAAUAUGAAGCUCACAACUAUUUUUUCUAAGAACGGUCUCGAUGACUCUUGGAGUGGUAGAUUCAAACGUUAAUCGUAACAAUAUUAAUCUACGCGUACCGUCAGCUACAUCUUAAAGAUAUCAGUUUUAUAAUUGAAAUAAACUGUACCAGAUAACGUUUUCUUCGAUGUUUAUUUUGUGGUAGUAUCUUGUUCGUUUUAAUGCUAAUACCUGCCUGUAGAGGUCAAUAGAGACGAAACGAGUGGGAAAGUUUGUG